RNAcentral lists this ribosomal RNA (532 nucleotides) under [Candida] sp. EJ3M02. RNAcentral describes it as "eukaryotic LSU rRNA". It matches the Rfam family "Eukaryotic large subunit ribosomal RNA", at positions 89 to 650 of the family's 3401-position model. Lineage: Eukaryota; Fungi; Ascomycota; Saccharomycetes; Saccharomycetales. The record is from RNAcentral.
GCGAGUGAAGCGGCAAAAGCUCAAAUUUGGAAUCUGCCAGCAAUGGCCGAGUUGUAAUUUGUAGAUGGUAACUCUGUAAGGAGUCUUUGCUCAAGUUUUCUGGAAAGGAACAUCAUGGAGGGUGACAAUCCCGUGAGGCAUUGACGUACUUGCGUGUAGAGUGCUAUCAAAGAGUCGAGUUGUUUGGGAAUGCAGCUCAAAGUGGGUGGUAGACACCAUCUAAAGCUAAAUAUUGGCGAGAGACCGAUAGCGAACAAGUACUGUGAAGGAAAGAUGAAAAGCACUUUGAAAAGAGAGUGAAAAAGUACGUGAAAUUAUUGUUAUGGAAGGGUAUAAAAUUGGACAUGAGGUAUUGAGUUCGGCAGUCUCUCGGGAUUGUUUUGUCUCUUUAUUUCGCACCAGCAUCAGUUUUGGCAGGAGGAUAAACAACAUGGAAUGUAGCUGCUUGCAGUAUUAUAGACUUGUUGCAUACUCUUUGCUGGGAUUGAGGUCAGCCUUUGUAGGAUGCUGGGGUAACGAUUUUAUACCACCC